GGCGGCAUACCCAAGUGGCAAGGGAGCGGUCUGCAAAACCGUUAUACAGCGGUUCAAAUCCGCUUGCCGCCUCCA
This 75-nucleotide transfer RNA is filed under the name Syntrophobacter sp. RNAcentral describes it as "tRNA-Cys". It matches the Rfam family "tRNA". From Rfam's summary of the family: Transfer RNA (tRNA) molecules are approximately 80 nucleotides in length. Lineage: Bacteria; Pseudomonadati; Thermodesulfobacteriota; Syntrophobacteria; Syntrophobacterales; Syntrophobacteraceae. The record is from RNAcentral. RNAcentral also lists the same sequence under 5 other names.